CUGGAGGGAACACAAUGCUGCUGACACCUUGCUUGUGGCCCAGUGAAACGAAUUUCAGACAUCUGGACUCAGAAACGGUACAAAAGUGAGACAAGGGGUGCAUAGCUGGACUGUCAACUUAAGAGGAUCAGUUUGGUAGAAGUGCUGAAAGGCAAAGCCAACAGGACAAAGGAGGGAGAGAAUGAGGAUUCAGGAACUCCAGAGUCUUAAUCUUGAACACCGGUCUUUUUCUGAUGGGGAGGAGUAUCACUGCCUGAGCUUCUUCGGCUGGUAAAUGUUUAACAUGCAGAGAAUGCAAACUUAGAAGUAAAUGCAGUAAGAGAAUCAGGUAGGAUGCUUACCAAGAGCUACCGGAAAAAAAUACAUUUGGAUCCAGUUAAUUCUUUGCUAUGGGGGACCCCUCCUAUGCAUUUUAAGAUUUUUACAACCUGUCUGGCCUCUACCCACAAGAUGUCUGAACAACCCCCAUUCCCACAACGUGUGGCAACUAAAAAUGACCCUUGAUGGAAAAACUGCCCCCGGUUGAGAACUGCUCCAAAGGCAUAGCUCUUUACCCUUAGAUGUUGGAAAAAUAAAACCUUAAACAUCUAAAAUUUCUUGAAAUUCAGUACGAUUUGUUUCCAUUUUCAAACAUCAAAUAGCCCUGGACAGUGGCUGGCUUUCGUGCUGAAACAACAUUGUGUGCAAUUGUUCGGAGCUUUAACACGAACGACUCCAAAUGAAGACGAGGAAAACUGAGGCAGAAUGACAGUGAAAGUUGUAUUUUUCCACAAGAACUAGUAGGUGAAUGCUCUCUGCGAACACCAAGAGCUAUCCAGGCACAAUAAACUCACUGCCAACCUUUUACACCUGGAGCAGACAGCAUGGCUUCCUAGAAAACUGUCCCCCUCGUUUUCGGAUCUUCAUCUAAAUCUGUUAAUCUCUCAACUUCACUGCUCUCUUCA
Long non-coding RNA from Neofelis nebulosa (Clouded leopard), 944 nucleotides. RefSeq lists it as uncharacterized. The transcript is spliced from 3 exons. NCBI's taxonomy places the organism in Eukaryota, Metazoa, Chordata, Mammalia, Carnivora, Felidae. The record is from RefSeq and is a predicted model, not a curated record.